Molecule: non-coding RNA, 29 nt
Filed under: Rattus norvegicus (Norway rat)
Lineage: Eukaryota; Metazoa; Chordata; Mammalia; Rodentia; Muridae
Source: RNAcentral
UGACAAAAUAAGAAUUUGUUCCAAACCGC